This 1539-nucleotide ribosomal RNA is filed under the name Klebsiella pneumoniae. RNAcentral's name for it is "bacterial SSU rRNA". It matches the Rfam family "Bacterial small subunit ribosomal RNA". Lineage: Bacteria; Pseudomonadati; Pseudomonadota; Gammaproteobacteria; Enterobacterales; Enterobacteriaceae. The record is from RNAcentral.
AAAUUGAAGAGUUUGAUCAUGGCUCAGAUUGAACGCUGGCGGCAGGCCUAACACAUGCAAGUCGAGCGGUAGCACAGAGAGCUUGCUCUCGGGUGACGAGCGGCGGACGGGUGAGUAAUGUCUGGGAAACUGCCUGAUGGAGGGGGAUAACUACUGGAAACGGUAGCUAAUACCGCAUAAUGUCGCAAGACCAAAGUGGGGGACCUUCGGGCCUCAUGCCAUCAGAUGUGCCCAGAUGGGAUUAGCUAGUAGGUGGGGUAACGGCUCACCUAGGCGACGAUCCCUAGCUGGUCUGAGAGGAUGACCAGCCACACUGGAACUGAGACACGGUCCAGACUCCUACGGGAGGCAGCAGUGGGGAAUAUUGCACAAUGGGCGCAAGCCUGAUGCAGCCAUGCCGCGUGUGUGAAGAAGGCCUUCGGGUUGUAAAGCACUUUCAGCGGGGAGGAAGGCGGUGAGGUUAAUAACCUCACCGAUUGACGUUACCCGCAGAAGAAGCACCGGCUAACUCCGUGCCAGCAGCCGCGGUAAUACGGAGGGUGCAAGCGUUAAUCGGAAUUACUGGGCGUAAAGCGCACGCAGGCGGUCUGUCAAGUCGGAUGUGAAAUCCCCGGGCUUAACCUGGGAACUGCAUUCGAAACUGGCAGGCUAGAGUCUUGUAGAGGGGGUAGAAUUCCAGGUGUAGCGGUGAAAUGCGUAGAGAUCUGGAGGAAUACCGGUGGCGAAGGCGGCCCCCUGGACAAAGACUGACGCUCAGGUGCGAAAGCGUGGGGAGCAAACAGGAUUAGAUACCCUGGUAGUCCACGCCGUAAACGAUGUCGAUUUGGAGGUUGUGCCCUUGAGGCGUGGCUUCCGGAGCUAACGCGUUAAAUCGACCGCCUGGGGAGUACGGCCGCAAGGUUAAAACUCAAAUGAAUUGACGGGGGCCCGCACAAGCGGUGGAGCAUGUGGUUUAAUUCGAUGCAACGCGAAGAACCUUACCUGGUCUUGACAUCCACAGAACUUUCCAGAGAUGGAUUGGUGCCUUCGGGAACUGUGAGACAGGUGCUGCAUGGCUGUCGUCAGCUCGUGUUGUGAAAUGUUGGGUUAAGUCCCGCAACGAGCGCAACCCUUAUCCUUUGUUGCCAGCGGUUCGGCCGGGAACUCAAAGGAGACUGCCAGUGAUAAACUGGAGGAAGGUGGGGAUGACGUCAAGUCAUCAUGCCCCUUACGACCAGGGCUACACACGUGCUACAAUGGCAUAUACAAAGAGAAGCGACCUCGCGAGAGCAAGCGGACCUCAUAAAGUAUGUCGUAGUCCGGAUUGGAGUCUGCAACUCGACUCCAUGAAGUCGGAAUCGCUAGUAAUCGUAGAUCAGAAUGCUACGGUGAAUACGUUCCCGGGCCUUGUACACACCGCCCGUCACACCAUGGGAGUGGGUUGCAAAAGAAGUAGGUAGCUUAACCUUCGGGAGGGCGCUUACCACUUUGUGAUUCAUGACUGGGGUGAAGUCGUAACAAGGUAACCGUAGGGGAACCUGCGGUUGGAUCACCUCCUUA